CCUACGGGACGCAGCAGUGAGGAAUAUUGGUCAAUGGGCGCAAGCCUGAACCAGCCAAGUCGCGUGAGGGAUGACGGUCCUAUGGAUUGUAAACCUCUUUUGACGGGGAGCAAGGCCCGCCACGUGUGGCGGGAAGGAGAGUACCCGAAGAAAAAGCAUCGGCUAACUCCGUGCCAGCAGCCGCGGUAAUACGUAGGGUGCGAGCGUUAAUCGGAAUUACUGGGCGUAAAGGGUGUGCAGGCGGUUUUUCAAGAUGGGUGGUGAAGCCCCGGGCUUAACCUUGGAAA
Molecule: ribosomal RNA, 287 nt
Filed under: uncultured bacterium
Lineage: Bacteria
Description: partial 16S ribosomal RNA
Rfam family: Bacterial small subunit ribosomal RNA
Source: RNAcentral